RNAcentral lists this unclassified non-coding RNA (683 nucleotides) under Scleria secans. Its description in RNAcentral is "sequence contains ITS1, 5.8S rRNA gene, ITS2". The stretch from base 244 to 398 matches the Rfam family "5.8S ribosomal RNA". Lineage: Eukaryota; Viridiplantae; Streptophyta; Magnoliopsida; Poales; Cyperaceae. The record is from RNAcentral.
CGUAGGUGAACCUGCGAAAGGAUCAUUGUCGGUGACCGUAAAAACACGAUCGGAGCACAUGUGAUAGAGCACUACUGGAGCAACGGCGCCGCACUAGCCAACUGACCACUGUCCUCAUGCCGUCUGGUGCGUUGGCCUCGGGCUGAUCACGGCGUGGGAUGACGCCAAGUAACAAGUAAUGCGGAGGCGGCGACGGCGGCUCCUUGGAGCGUGCCGCUUGCUACCGGUGGAAGAAAUCAAAAUGACUCUCGACAACGGAUAUCUCGGCUCUCGCAUCGAUGAAGAACGUAGCGAAAUACGAUACGUGGUGUGAAUUGCAGAAUCCCGCGAACCAUCGAGUUUUUGAACGCAAGUUGCGCCCGAGGGUCCUGCCCGAGGGCACGCCUGCCUCAUGGGCGUAACAAGCCCAUCCACGCUCGGGUGUCCCGGCCUUGACGGGCCAGGACGGACGCGGAUGAUGGCCCUCCGAGCCAGAGCGCACGGCGGGCCGAAGCGUGCGUUUGUCGGAUGCGGUCGGAGCGGCGAGUGGUGGGAUCCUGCGCACGCCGCCUCGCGCCAUUCUCCGGCGUCGGGCGCUUAGCUUCGACCCUGUACGAGGAGCCCGUCGUCGGCGCGUCCGGCUUCGGGGAACCCUCGGACCAAUACCCCAGGUCAGGCGGGGCUACCCGCCGAGUUUAAGCAUA